RNAcentral lists this transfer RNA (75 nucleotides) under Nanobdellota archaeon. Its description in RNAcentral is "tRNA-Ile". It matches the Rfam family "tRNA". Rfam says of the family: Transfer RNA (tRNA) molecules are approximately 80 nucleotides in length. Their secondary structure includes four short double-helical elements and three loops (D, anti-codon, and T loops). Lineage: Archaea; Nanobdellati; Nanobdellota. RNAcentral also lists the same sequence under 1 other name. The record is from RNAcentral.
GAUCCCGUAGCUCAGCCUGGUUAGAGCGCCGGUCUUAUAAGCCGGAGGUCCCGGGUUCAAAUCCCGGCGGGAUCA